RNAcentral lists this long non-coding RNA (701 nucleotides) under Notechis scutatus (mainland tiger snake). Its description in RNAcentral is "lncRNA (ENSNSUG00000018707.1)". Lineage: Eukaryota; Metazoa; Chordata; Lepidosauria; Squamata; Elapidae. The record is from RNAcentral.
GAGGGCAGAAGCUUCCGCUGCCGUACCCACAAGGAUAUGGCCUGAUGAAAAAAAUACAACUGAUGCUCUUUUGGAAGGGCGGGGAGGGGGGAAGAGAAGGUUUCGCCAGCUUUACUGAGCAUGCGCAUAAGAAUAUUAGUCAUAGGAUAAUGAAGUCAACCUAAACUAAACCAGCACUGAAGAUUGACACGGCACAGAAUUGAACGCAGCCUGAUUUCAGGAGAGGAACUACAAGAUUGAAAGGUUAUAACAUCCAACAACUCUGCAUCUCUUCUGUGAAAUAGAUCCCAUUGUCACACUGUAGCUUUGCUUUAAGAUAGCUCUGAGGUAGACCUACAAUUAAAAAUUAGCCUACCCUUUACAUGUUUUUGAGCUGGGUAUUGUCUUUCUAAUCCGUUGUGCAAAUAUUUUAAUCUUGGAAGCUACAGCCUUCUCUCUUUCCACUAUAUAAUUAAGUUGAGAUGGGUUGGUAUAAAUAAGAUAUUUACCUGUCAUAUCAUCUUUCCUAUAGCCUGUUCAUAACUGUUUACAUUAUUUUAAAUUGAGAAUUGUGCAACAUGUAUGGAUAAAGUCUCUUCUACAAUUUCCUCUACCUCUCCUUAGAAAUAAUAUGAUUCUUUUCCUGUAUCCAUCAAAAUCAUGUUGAGGUGCUUCCAUUUUCUUGAGUUUCUGACUAAAUUAAAAUCUACAUUUUGUCUUUA